RNAcentral lists this ribosomal RNA (281 nucleotides) under uncultured Staphylococcus sp. RNAcentral describes it as "partial 16S ribosomal RNA". It matches the Rfam family "Bacterial small subunit ribosomal RNA", at positions 81 to 354 of the family's 1533-position model. The record is from RNAcentral. Lineage: Bacteria; Bacillati; Bacillota; Bacilli; Caryophanales; Staphylococcaceae.
CUCCUUUGACGUUAGCGGCGGACGGGUGAGUAACACGUGGGUAACCUACCUAUAAGGCUGGGAUAACUUCGGGAAACCGGAGCUAAUACCGGAUAAUAUUUCGAACCGCAUGGUUCGAUAGUGAAAGGNGGUUUUGCUAUCACUUAUAGAUGGACCCGCGCCGUAUUAACUAGUUGGUAAGGUAACGGCUUACCAAGGUGACGAUACGUAGCCGACCUGAGAGGGUGAUCGGCCACACUGGAACUGAGACACGGUCCAGACUCCUACGGGAGGCAGCAGGU